AUUGAACGCUGGCGGCAGGCCUAACACAUGCGAGUCGAGCGGAUGAAGGGAGCUUGCUCCUGGAUUCAGCGGCGGACGGGUGAGUAAUGCCUAGGAAUCUGCCUGGUAGUGGGGGAUAACGUCCGGAAACGGGCGCUAAUACCGCAUACGUCCUGAGGGAGAAAGUGGGGGAUCUUCGGACCUCACGCUAUCAGAUGAGCCUAGGUCGGAUUAGCUAGUUGGUGGGGUAAAGGCCUACCAAGGCGACGAUCCGUAACUGGUCUGAGAGGAUGAUCAGUCACACUGGAACGGAGACACGGUCCAGACUCCUACGGGACGCAGCAGUGGGGAAUAUUGGACAAUGGGCGAAAGCCUGAUCCAGCCAUGCCGCGUGUGUGAAGAAGGUCUUCGGAUUGUAAAGCACUUUAAGUUGGGAGGAAGGGCAGUAAGUUAAUACCUUGCUGUUUUGACGUUACCAACAGAAUAAGCACCGGCUAACUUCGUG
Molecule: ribosomal RNA, 484 nt
Filed under: uncultured bacterium
Lineage: Bacteria
Description: partial 16S ribosomal RNA
Rfam family: Bacterial small subunit ribosomal RNA
Source: RNAcentral